CGUAUCGGAGAAAUGCAGGAAACUGCGUGAAACUCGCCUGUAAUCCCGGCAUCAUCACACCAGUGAUGUGGCGACUUUUUUGACUGGCUGCUGCGGCGGCGAUUUU
RNAcentral lists this non-coding RNA (106 nucleotides) under unclassified sequences. RNAcentral describes it as "DUF3577 RNA". It matches the Rfam family "DUF3577 RNA". The record is from RNAcentral.